This 969-nucleotide ribosomal RNA is filed under the name uncultured bacterium. Its description in RNAcentral is "bacterial SSU rRNA". It matches the Rfam family "Bacterial small subunit ribosomal RNA", at positions 22 to 1008 of the family's 1533-position model. The record is from RNAcentral.
GCUCAGAACGAACGCUGGCGGCGUGGAUAAGACAUGCAAGUCGAACGAGAGAAUUGCUAGCUUGCUAAUAAUUCUCUAGUGGCGCACGGGUGAGUAACACGUGAGUAACCUGCCCCCGAGAGCGGGAUAGCCCUGGGAAACUGGGAUUAAUACCGCAUAGUAUCGAAAGAUUAAAGCAGCAAUGCGCUUGGGGAUGGGCUCGCGGCCUAUUAGUUAGUUGGUGAGGUAACGGCUCACCAAGGCGAUGACGGGUAGCCGGUCUGAGAGGAUGUCCGGCCACACUGGAACUGAGACACGGUCCAGACACCUACGGGUGGCAGCAGUCGAGAAUCAUUCACAAUGGGGGAAACCCUGAUGGUGCGACGCCGCGUGGGGGAAUGAAGGUCUUCGGAUUGUAAACCCCUGUCAUGUGGGAGCAAAUUAAAAAGAUAGUACCACAAGAGGAAGAGACGGCUAACUCUGUGCCAGCAGCCGCGGUAAUACAGAGGUCUCAAGCGUUGUUCGGAAUCACUGGGCGUAAAGCGUGCGUAGGCUGUUUUCGUAAGUCGUGUGUGAAAGGCGCGGGCUCAACCCGCGGACGGCACAUGAUACUGCGAGAUUAGAGUAAUGGAGGGGGAACCGGAAUUCUCGGUGUAGCAGUGAAAUGCGUAGAUAUCGAGAGGAACACUCGUGGCGAAGGCGGGUUCCUGGACAUUAACUGACGCUGAGGCACGAAGGCCAGGGGAGCGAAAGAGAUUAGAUACCCCUGUAGUCCUGGCAGUAAAACGGUGCACGCUUGGUGUGCGGGGAAUCGACCCCCUGCGUGCCGGAGCUAACGCAUUAAGCGUGCCGCCUGGGGAGUACGGUCGCAAGAUUAAAACUCAAAGAAAUUGACGGGGACCCGCACAAGCGGUGGAGUAUGUGGCUUAAUUCGAUGCAACGCGAAGAACCUUACCUGGGCUUGACAUGUAAUGAACAACAUGUGAAAGC